UUUGCAGAAGGUGCUUCGGGCGCGGCCGCGGUCCAAGUCCCGAGGAACAGGGCGUCGCAGAGGGUGAGAAUCCCGUAUGCGCCGCUGGCCAAGUCCGUGUGAAGCCCUUUCGACGAGUCGAGUUGUUUGGGAAUGCAGCUCCAAGUGGGUGGUAAAUUUCAUCUAAAGCUAAAUAUCUGCCGGAGACCGAUAGCGCACAAGUAGAGUGAUCGAAAGAUGAAAAGCACUUUGAAAAGA
This 237-nucleotide ribosomal RNA is filed under the name Ocellularia aff. dolichotata Sipman 46152. RNAcentral's name for it is "partial 28S large subunit ribosomal RNA". It matches the Rfam family "Eukaryotic large subunit ribosomal RNA", at positions 149 to 384 of the family's 3401-position model. The record is from RNAcentral. Lineage: Eukaryota; Fungi; Ascomycota; Lecanoromycetes; Ostropales; Graphidaceae.